RNAcentral lists this ribosomal RNA (441 nucleotides) under uncultured bacterium. Its description in RNAcentral is "partial 16S ribosomal RNA". It matches the Rfam family "Bacterial small subunit ribosomal RNA", at positions 338 to 795 of the family's 1533-position model. The record is from RNAcentral.
CCUACGGGUGACAGCAGUGGGGAAUAUUGCACAAUGGGGGGAACCCUGAUGCAGCGACGCCGCGUGGGCGAAGGAGUCUUUCGGUAUGUCAACCCCUAUCAGCAGGGAAGAACAAUGACGGUACCUGACUAAGAAGCACCGGCCAAAUACGUGCCAGCAGCCGCGGUAAUCCGGAUGGUGCAAGCGUUUUCCGGAUUUACUGGGGUUAAAGGGAGCGCAGGCGGCGCGUUAAGCCUGGUGGGAAAGCCCGGGGCCCAACCGCGGGACUGCAUUGGGAACUGGCGGGCUGGAGUGCCGGAGGGGUAGGAGGAAUUCCUAGUGUAGCGGUGAAAUGCGUAGAUAUUAGGAGGAACACCAGUGGCGAAGGCGGGCUACUGGACGGUGACUGACGCUGAGGCGCGAAAGCGUGGGGAGCAAACAGGAUUAGAUACCCCAGUAGUC